This 695-nucleotide ribosomal RNA is filed under the name uncultured bacterium. Its description in RNAcentral is "bacterial SSU rRNA". It matches the Rfam family "Bacterial small subunit ribosomal RNA", at positions 48 to 725 of the family's 1533-position model. The record is from RNAcentral.
CUAAUACAUGCAAGUCGUACGCUGGAGCGCUCUGCUUGCAGAGCGCGGAUGAGUGGCGAACGGGUGAGUAACACGUGGGCAACCUGCCUGUAAGAUCGGGAUAACUUGCGGAAACGUGAGCUAAUACCGGAUAAAGCUUCACAUCUCCUGGUGUGAAGAUGAAAGACGGCUCUGCUGUCACUUACAGAUGGGCCCGCGGCGCAUUAGCUAGUUGGUGGGGUAAAGGCCUACCAAGGCGACGAUGCGUAGCCGACCUGAGAGGGUGAUCGGCCACACUGGGACUGAGACACGGCCCAGACUCCUACGGGAGGCAGCAGUAGGGAAUCUUCCGCAAUGGACGAAAGUCUGACGGAGCAACGCCGCGUGAGUGAUGAAGGUUUUCGGAUCGUAAAACUCUGUUGUCAGGGAAGAACAAGUUUGAGAGUAACUGCUCAGACCUUGACGGUACCUGACCAGAAAGCCACGGCUAACUACGUGCCAGCAGCCGCGGUAAUACGUAGGUGGCAAGCGUUGUCCGGAAUUAUUGGGCGUAAAGCGCUCGCAGGCGGUCUUUUAAGUCUGAUGUGAAAUCUUGCGGCUUAACCGUAAGCGGUCAUUGGAAACUGGAGGACUUGAGUACAGAAGAGGAGAGUGGAAUUCCACGUGUAGCGGUGAAAUGCGUAGAGAUGUGGAGGAACACCAGUGGCGAAGGCGAC